RNAcentral lists this ribosomal RNA (1458 nucleotides) under uncultured organism. RNAcentral's name for it is "SSU rRNA". It matches the Rfam family "Bacterial small subunit ribosomal RNA". The record is from RNAcentral.
CGGCAGGCCUAACACAUGCAAGUCGAGCGGUAGCACAGAGAGCUUGCUCUCGGGUGACGAGCGGCGGACGGGUGAGUAAUGUCUGGGAAACUGCCUGAUGGAGGGGGAUAACUACUGGAAACGGUAGCUAAUACCGCAUAACGUCGCAAGACCAAAGUGGGGGACCUUCGGGCCUCAUGCCAUCAGAUGUGCCCAGAUGGGAUUAGCUAGUAGGUGGGGUAACGGCCCACCUAGGCGACGAUCCCUAGCUGGUCUGAGAGGAUGACCAGCCACACUGGAACUGAGACACGGUCCAGACUCCUACGGGAGGCAGCAGUGGGGAAUAUUGCACAAUGGGCGCAAGCCUGAUGCAGCCAUGCCGCGUGUGUGAAGAAGGCCUUCGGGUUGUAAAGCACUUUCAGCGGGGAGGAAGGCGUUAAGGUUAAUAACCUUGGCGAUUGACGUUACCCGCAGAAGAAGCACCGGCUAACUCCGUGCCAGCAGCCGCGGUAAUACGGAGGGUGCAAGCGUUAAUCGGAAUUACUGGGCGUAAAGCGCACGCAGGCGGUCUGUCAAGUCGGAUGUGAAAUCCCCGGGCUCAACCUGGGAACUGCAUUCGAAACUGGCAGGCUAGAGUCUUGUAGAGGGGGGUAGAAUUCCAGGUGUAGCGGUGAAAUGCGUAGAGAUCUGGAGGAAUACCGGUGGCGAAGGCGGCCCCCUGGACAAAGACUGACGCUCAGGUGCGAAAGCGUGGGGAGCAAACAGGAUUAGAUACCCUGGUAGUCCACGCCGUAAACGAUGUCGAUUUGGAGGUUGUGCCCUUGAGGCGUGGCUUCCGGAGCUAACGCGUUAAAUCGACCGCCUGGGGAGUACGGCCGCAAGGUUAAAACUCAAAUGAAUUGACGGGGGCCCGCACAAGCGGUGGAGCAUGUGGUUUAAUUCGAUGCAACGCGAAGAACCUUACCUGGUCUUGACAUCCACAGAACUUUCCAGAGAUGGAUUGGUGCCUUCGGGAACUGUGAGACAGGUGCUGCAUGGCUGUCGUCAGCUCGUGUUGUGAAAUGUUGGGUUAAGUCCCGCAACGAGCGCAACCCUUAUCCUUUGUUGCCAGCGGUUAGGCCGGGAACUCAAAGGAGACUGCCAGUGAUAAACUGGAGGAAGGUGGGGAUGACGUCAAGUCAUCAUGGCCCUUACGACCAGGGCUACACACGUGCUACAAUGGCAUAUACAAAGAGAAGCGACCUCGCGAGAGCAAGCGGACCUCAUAAAGUAUGUCGUAGUCCGGAUUGGAGUCUGCAACUCGACUCCAUGAAGUCGGAAUCGCUAGUAAUCGUAGAUCAGAAUGCUACGGUGAAUACGUUCCCGGGCCUUGUACACACCGCCCGUCACACCAUGGGAGUGGGUUGCAAAAGAAGUAGGUAGCUUAACCUUCGGGAGGGCGCUUACCACUUUGUGAUUCAUGACUGGGGUGAAGUCAUA